This 3044-nucleotide long non-coding RNA is filed under the name Nothobranchius furzeri (turquoise killifish). RNAcentral's name for it is "lncRNA (ENSNFUG00015006177.1)". Lineage: Eukaryota; Metazoa; Chordata; Actinopteri; Cyprinodontiformes; Nothobranchiidae. The record is from RNAcentral.
AUGACUUAUUUUAUUUCUUUGUUUUUGAUUAUUUUAGUUCCUCGGCUGUUUUUAUUUAUCACAAAUAUUGUCAUCGCAAUAUUAAUCACUGUUAUCGAAUACGGGCUGUGGGUCGUUAUGAUGUUGUGUUUAUUAGUGCUACAGAUAAAAGCACCGAGUGUUAACGUGUGUUGUCGUCCUCCUGCAAGAGAAAACUCUGGAGAUGGGACGGUUUUAAAUAACGUACUUAAUGUUCGGCUCUGUUCGUGUGCCGCUGGACGAGUGGCAGAUCCCAGCUUAGCUUUGUGUGUGUUCACUUAUUUGGGAUGUGCUACAAAUGAAUCUUUAAAUCUUUAAAUGAUAGAAGAAGGACAAAUAAAAAGAAGCUUUUACACAAAUGUAUGAAUUUUUUUUUUUACUUUUGUUGGUUUGAAACACGGAUUUUAAGCUUUUUUCUUUCCUCAAAAGCAUGAAAUGAAACUUUUAAUGAGUUAUUUGUGACGUCUGGGUUUAAAGAGGCCAUAUGAUGGAAAACCACCUUUACCGUGUCAUAUUGGUACUUCCUCAUGAAAACCACCCCUAAACCUGAUUUUGGCUGAAUGAAGGGACGGUGUCGUGUGCAAAAACAGCAUGAAAGAGUGAAAGAGCGAGACCAACCCUCGGUUGAGAACAGGGGAAGGAGAACAAGUGCACUUUGCCAAAGUCAUCAGCAGAGGCCAGCAGGGAUUUGUCAUGUGACCGGCACACGGCGUUGAUGUCUGUGCCGUCUGCUCCAUCUGGCCAAACUCCUGCAAGACACAGGAGGAGAAGACCGGGGGGGGGNNNNNNNNNNNNNNNNNNNNNNNNNNNNNNNNNNNNNNNNNNNNNNNNGGUGCCGGCCACCCGCCCCGCGCGAGGCCCGAGGGGGAGGGGGGGGGGGGGGGGGGGGGGGGGGGGGGGGGGGUAUGGGAGACAAAUAUUGAUCUGUUCCGUUUCUGUUGGUAGGACAACACAAACGAAGAACGUCAGCCAAGACAACAAUACUUAAAUCCUGGAGGUACAAGCCUUAGGCCGCAUUAAUGUUCUGCUUUUCUGGUUUUCAAGGCAUUUAUCAGAUUUUCUUCAGCUGCUGGUCUUUCUCAACAAGCCAUGAUUCAUUCAUUCAUUCAUUCAUCCAUCCAUCCCCAGUGAGUCGUGGAGGAUGGCUGCUUAUACUGAGCCAGGAUUCUCUGGAGGUUUCUUCCUGUUAAAAGGGAGUUUUCCUCUCCACUGUCGCUGCAUGCUUGCUUAGUAUGAGGAUUGCUGUAAAGACUCUGACACUAGUCAGUGACUCGAUGCAACCUGCUGGGUUCCUUAUAUAGGAUACUUGUUACUGAUUGGCUUAAUGACCUGACCUGUGUUGGAGUGUGAAGCAGAGGUGUGACCAAGUCACUGCUUUGCAAGUCACAAGUAAGUCACAAGUCUUUCCAGUCAAGUCUCGAGUCAAGUCCAAGUCAAAGACAACCAAGUCCAAGUUGAGUCCAAAGUCAAUGGUGUGGAAGUCCAAGUGAAGUACAAGUCCUUAACUCUGACUUUUCAAGUCAUAUUCAAGUCAACUGACCAACUUCAAUUUAAUGACGAUGAAAAUAAAUUCCAGAGAUAAAAAUUCUUAAAGUUUAGUUUAUUGCUGCAGAACAAAAUCAAACCCUGAACCAAGAAUGAUUUAUGAUUUUUGUCCAUGUCGGGCCACUUUUGUGCUAAAAUAUCGAAUAUGCUCAAGUCAUCAUCAAGUCAACAGAUGCAAGUCGAUUCAAGUCGCAAGUCACUGGAGUUCAAAUCCGAGUCAAGUCAGAAGUCUUUAUAGAUGUUAUCAAGUCAAGUCAGAAGUCAUUAAAAUAACGACUCAAGUCUGACUCGAGUCCAAGUCAUGUGACUCGAGUCCAAGUCAUGUGACUCGAGUCCACACCUCUGGUGUGACGGUCCUUGAGACGACGCUGGUCCUGAUUUGUUAUAGCUAAAAUUGAAUUGUAUUUCUUCUACAAAGAACUUCUUACAAAAAUGUCUGCAGACUUGAUCCCAAACAUGCGUUUGGCUUUAAUCUCACUCAGCAGAGCUCGAGUUCUCGGUCUGACCGAUCCACUAGUGUUAGUCAUCUUAACAACCCACCGAAGGUGUUGAAGCUCAGAGUGCAGGUAGCGGUGGCCCACUGCAGGUUGCGUAUGGUGUCCAUGUUGGUGACGUGUUUACCAUUUGAUGCCUCCCCUAAAAAGUGCAACCAUGAUUCAUCCGUCAUCAGUUUUGCUUUCAUUGUGAAGUUUUAGCUGAAAUUCUCACACAGAAAUGCAAACAGACAACAAACAGAAGAGGACCUACAGAAGAGGAUCUCGUAAUCUCCUGAGUUGGUGACGAGGUAUUUGCUGUCUGUAGACCAGUCCAGGUGGGUGACAAAGCUGGAGUGGCCCUGAGGGUCAAAACCAAACAACAUUCGUUCUUAAACCAGUCUCCUGGGUUCAACCGCCACACACACACACACACACACACACACACACGUGCAGCAAGGCAAUCUUUUUGAAGCUGAUGCGAAGCGAUGGUACACGAGAAACCUCCCCUUUCCGUCGCUCUGGUGUUGGAGUGUGAUGCGAGAGAAGGAGGAAUCCGUCCCCGCCCUCUCCAUCCCCUGAUGCCACCAGCUAAACCACCCAGAGUAAACACGCCACACUGUAGCAUCAUUUUAUUCCUAACUCACUAGUGCACUCGCUGCUGCGGCAUUAAAGAUGACCAGCCUUAGCAUCCAAACGCUAAGAAGAUUAGUGGAGGGGAAAUGUGACAGUGUGCAAAAAUAGCUUUCUCUGUAGGCCUGAGAGGCUUCCAGCUCCAUCUGCAGAAACGCGGGACAGUGGAACAAACAGCACGCUCACAUGCUGUUCAUCACGCUAACUGUCAGGAACACCGCUGCCUCUGCUGUCGUCCUCCCGCAGACAGGAGUGACUGGGACCUCCCUGGGUGCGGAUUACAGCAGCAGCAAUGCUCAGGUUCAGGACUGCGCUGCUCUCAGCUAGUUACCAUCUUAAAAAACUUUCAGACAGUCAAAGCGCAGCGAAAAUUUU